ACGGAGGAUCCAAGCGUUAUCCGGAUUCAUUGGGUUUAAAGGGUGCGCAGGCGGCUUGGUAAGUCAGAUGUGAAAUCCCUGGGCUUAACCCAGGAAGUGCAUUUGAUACUGCCUCGCUAGAGUACGGGAGAGGAAAGUGGAAUUCCUGGUGUAGAGGUGAAAUUCGUAGAUAUCAGGAGGAACACCGGUGGCGAAGGCGACUUUCUGGCCCGAUACUGACGCUCAGGCGCGAAAGCGUGGGGAGCAAACAG
Molecule: ribosomal RNA, 251 nt
Filed under: uncultured prokaryote
Description: partial 16S rRNA
Rfam family: Bacterial small subunit ribosomal RNA
Source: RNAcentral